Molecule: ribosomal RNA, 425 nt
Filed under: uncultured bacterium
Lineage: Bacteria
Description: bacterial SSU rRNA
Rfam family: Bacterial small subunit ribosomal RNA
Source: RNAcentral
GUGGGGAAUAUUGGACAAUGGGCGAAAGCCUGAUCCAGCCAUGCCGCGUGAGUGAUGAAGGCCUUAGGGUUGUAAAGCUCUUUCAGUAGGGAAGAUAAUGACGGUACCUACAGAAGAAGCCCCGGCUAACUUCGUGCCAGCAGCCGCGGUAAUACGAAGGGGGCUAGCGUUGUUCGGAUUUACUGGGCGUAAAGCGCACGUAGGCGGAUUGGUCAGUUAGAGGUGAAAUUCUGGAGCUCAACUCCAGAACUGCCUUUAAUACUGCCAGUCUAGAGUCCAGAAGAGGUGAGUGGAACUCCUAGUGUAGAGGUGGAAUUCGUAGAUAUUAGGAAGAACACCAGUGGCGAAGGCGGCUCACUGGUCUGGUACUGACGCUGAGGUGCGAAAGCGUGGGGAGCAAACAGGAUUAGAACCCCCAGUAGUCC